GGUUCGCAUUGUAAUUUGUAGAGGAUGAUUUGGGGAAGCCGCCUGUCUAAGUUCCUUGGAACAGGACGUCAUAGAGGGUGAGAAUCCCGUAUGUGACAGGAAAUGGCACCCUAUGUAAAUCUCCUUCGACGAGUCGAGUUGUUUGGGAAUGCAGCUCUAAAUGGGAGGUAAAUUUCUUCUAAAGCUAAAUAUUGGCGAGAGACCGAUAGCGCACAAGUAGAGUGAUCGAAAGAUGAAAAGCACUUUGGAAAGAGAGUUAAAAAGCACGUGAAAUUGUUGAAAGGGAAGCGCUUGCAAUCAGACUUGUUUAAACUGUUCGGCCGGUCUUCUGACCGGUUUACUCAGUUUGGACAGGCCAGCAUCAGUUUCGGCGGCCGGAUAAAGGCUCUGGGAAUGUGGCCUCCACUUCGGUGGAGGUGUUAUAGCCCAGGGUGUAAUACGGCCAGCCGGGACUGAGGUCCGCGCUUCGGCUAGGAUGCUGGCGUAAUGGUUGUAAGCGACCCGUCUUGAAACACGGACCAAGGAGUCUAACAUCUAUGCGAGUGUUCGGGUGUCAAACCCCUGCGCGUAAUGAAAGUGAACGGAGGUGGGAACCCGCAAGGGUGCACCAUCGACCGAUCCUGAUGUCUUCGGAUGGAUUUGAGUAAGAGCAUAGCUGUUGGGACCCGAAAGAUGGUGAACUAUGCCUGAAUAGGGUGAAGCCAGAGGAAACUCUGGC
This 718-nucleotide ribosomal RNA is filed under the name Aureobasidium pullulans. RNAcentral describes it as "partial large subunit ribosomal RNA". It matches the Rfam family "Eukaryotic large subunit ribosomal RNA", at positions 135 to 868 of the family's 3401-position model. The record is from RNAcentral. Lineage: Eukaryota; Fungi; Ascomycota; Dothideomycetes; Dothideales; Saccotheciaceae.